This is an RNA transcript of Rosa chinensis, 1260 nucleotides long. It is a transcript of the gene named protein trichome birefringence-like 43, with no coding region annotated. NCBI's taxonomy places the organism in Eukaryota, Viridiplantae, Streptophyta, Magnoliopsida, Rosales, Rosaceae. The transcript is spliced from 6 exons. The record is from RefSeq and is a predicted model, not a curated record.
UUAUUAUUUUUUUUUUUUUUUUUGGUUCUGAAACAAUCGGGUUUAAUCUAAAUCUCUCCGUCCCGCACACUCACCGCCCGCCACCCCCUCUCUCAUGGCCCCUUCAUCAUCGGAGCAUCCGGAGAAAUUUUUCUGUCAAUUGAUGGACUACGAAAGCUCGUCUGCUAAUUUACCAGAUGCCCACCCUUCUCAAUGAGAUUUGGAACCCCAACCCCAAUCUCAAAUGCCCACUCUUCUCUUUGAAAGGAGUACUACAGAAGAAGAACAAUGAGUCGCAAAUAGGCACCAAAUGCUACUUGUUUGAUGGGAGUUGGAUUUACGAUGAUACAUACCCACUCUACGACACAUCCAGCUGCCCUUUUAUUGACAGAGAGUUCGACUGUCAGAAAAAUGGACGCCCGGAUAGUCAAUAUCUCAAGUAUAGAUGGAAGCCUAAGGGUUGUGCAUUGCCCAGAUUCAAUGGUCAGGACUUCUUGAGGAGAUUAAAGGGGAAGAAGAUAUUAUUCGUAGGGGACUCUCUGAGCUAUAACCAGUGGCAGUCACUAACAUGUAUGCCCCAAAGCCAAAUGGGUCGAUUCUAACGUUGGCAACACCAAAGUUUUCUUUCAGGGCAUCCCCCUUUAUUAUGUUUUUGGGAUUAGGGAAAAUAGAUAAAGCUUUUAUUCCACUGCUGGAAGAAGUCUGUUUGUGGCAUCCUUCGUUGAUUAGCUGCCAAAGGAAAAGAAGUCGCAUGUUUAGUGAAUGGGCAUUCACAGCUUUAUUAGGUUUGGAUCAACUUCGCUCUGGACUUCUUCAGCAACAAAAACCUUUUAUACAAGCUCCCAGCCCUUUCAUCAGCUUCAAAUGCUGACACCACAACACCAGCAACAACUUAUGCUUGCCCAGCAAAAUUUGACAUCCCCAUCUGCUAGUGAUGAUAGUAGAAGACUAAGAAUGCUAUUGAAUAAUCGAAGUAUGGGGCUUGGAAAGGAUGGCCUUUCAAAUUCCGUUGGCGAUGUAGUGCCAAAUGUAGGAUCACCUCUUCAAGCUGCAGGCUCUAUGAUGCCUCGUGGAGAUACAGAUAUGCUGAUGAAGGUCACAAAAAACCAGCCUGGGAGGAAGAGAAAGCAGCCGGUGUCAUCUUCAGGCCAUCAUGUGUCCCCCUGUGGCUUACGCUCAAUACAUGAGAAUAAUGGAGACUGGUUUAGCUUGUAAUCCAUAUUUGAAACCGUUGAACAGAUCACAAUUUCCAUUAAAAGCUAAAAUAUUUAGAUAGAGAAA